This 78-nucleotide transfer RNA is filed under the name Priestia megaterium. Its description in RNAcentral is "Bacillus megaterium tRNA-OTHER". It matches the Rfam family "tRNA". Rfam says of the family: Transfer RNA (tRNA) molecules are approximately 80 nucleotides in length. Their secondary structure includes four short double-helical elements and three loops (D, anti-codon, and T loops). Further hydrogen bonds mediate the characteristic L-shaped molecular structure. tRNAs have two regions of fundamental functional importance: the anti-codon, which is responsible for specific mRNA codon recognition, and the 3' end, to which the tRNAs corresponding amino acid is attached (by aminoacyl-tRNA synthetases). tRNAs cope with the degeneracy of the genetic code in two manners: having more than one tRNA (with a specific anti-codon) for a particular amino acid; and 'wobble' base-pairing, i.e. permitting non-standard base-pairing at the 3rd anti-codon position. The record is from RNAcentral. Lineage: Bacteria; Bacillati; Bacillota; Bacilli; Caryophanales; Bacillaceae.
CGGGAAGUAGCUCAGCUUGGUAGAGCACUUGGGUUUGGGACCAAGGGGUCGCAGGUUCGAAUCCUGUCUUCCCGACCA